Molecule: small RNA, 29 nt
Filed under: Bombyx mori (domestic silkworm)
Lineage: Eukaryota; Metazoa; Arthropoda; Insecta; Lepidoptera; Bombycidae
Description: ovarian small RNA-34295
Source: RNAcentral
UGCUUCUUGGCCUCGCCGAUGGCCAGCUG